Long non-coding RNA from Phyllostomus discolor (pale spear-nosed bat), 428 nucleotides. RefSeq lists it as uncharacterized. The record is from RefSeq and is a predicted model, not a curated record. Lineage: Eukaryota; Metazoa; Chordata; Mammalia; Chiroptera; Phyllostomidae. The transcript is spliced from 2 exons.
AGAGAGAGAGAAUAACAACUGGCUCAUUCUUUGGGGACCUAGGCCUAAGCUCUCAGACACCAAGGGUAAGGGGUGGGGAGCGCAAUUCUCUCCACAAAGCUGGGUUUACAGUUCUCUGCCUCCUACCCACUCUCUGAAACUCCUGCAAUGUGUGGCACUUGUUUCUCUAUUUUGUCCCCUACUAUUCAGCAAAAACAGGUUUGCCUCAAAAUAUGUUUCUGUAGAGUACAGCUUCAAACUUCCUGUGGGUCCCCCUUUGUAUUUCAUGGGCUUUGUUCACUUAACACUUAUUGAACAUCUACAAUGUACCAGGUGCCAUGCUAGGUCUGAGAGAUAUGGAAUACCCCCUCUAAUCGAGGAAACACAGGUAAACAGGAUGGGGCAGGGCAUGGUGGUUGAGGGGAAGAGGAGUAGCAGAACAGGCCUGA